This is a non-coding RNA of Acanthosepion pharaonis, 107 nucleotides long. NCBI's taxonomy places the organism in Eukaryota, Metazoa, Mollusca, Cephalopoda, Sepiida, Sepiidae. The record is from the annotation of a GenBank genome assembly.
UCUGGCCAUACCACGUUGAAAAACAGGUUCCCGUAUGAUCACCGAAGUUAAGCAACAUCGAGCAACUGAAGAAUGGGGGACCGUUUGGAAAUACCAUGUGCUGUAAG